AGGGCUAAUGGUGGAUGCCUAGACUAUAAGAGGCGAUGAAGGACGUACUAGACUGCGAUAAGUCUUGGGGAGCUGUCAAGAAGCAUUGAUCCAGGAAUUUCCGAAUGGGACAACCCAGUAUAAUGAGAAUUAUAUUAUCUAGAUUUAUCUAGAGGCGAACCGAGGGAAGUGAAACAUCUCAGUACCUCGAGGAAGAGAAAUCAAUUGAGAUUCUGUUAGUAGCGGCGAGCGAAAACGGAUUAGAGCGGUUAUAUUUAGCAUAUUAGUUAGUAGAAGUAGUUGGAAUGCUACGCGAUACAGAGUGAAAGCCUCGUAUACGAAAACUUUUAUGUGGAACUAAGAUAACGAACGAGUAGGUCGGAACACGUGACAUUUUGACUGAAUAUGGGGGGACCACCCUCCAACUCUAAAUACUACUUAUAGAUCGAUAGUGCACAAGUACCGUGAGGGAAAGGUGAAAAGUACCCCAGUGAGGGGAGUGAAAUAGAACCUGAAACCAUUAGCUUACAAUCAUUCGGAGCCCUAUGUCUUGUACAGGGUGACGGACUGCCUUUUGCAUAAUGAGCCUGCGAGUUGUGGUAUAUGGCAAGGUUAAGUCAAGUACGAAGCCGUAGCGAAAGCGAGUGUGAAUAGCGCGAAUUAGUCAUAUGCUGCAGACCCGAAACGAAGUGAUCUAUCCAUGAGCAGGUUGAAGCUGGUGUAAGAGCCAGUGGAGGACCGAACCGGUGUGCGUUGAAAAGUGCUCGGAUGACUUGUGGAUAGGGGUGAAAGGCCAAUCAAACUUCGUGAUAGCUGGUUCUCUCCGAAAUAUAUUUAGGUAUAGCGUCAUGUAAAUUAGUAUAAAGGGGUAGAGCACUGAAUGGGCUAGGGCUGCUUACCGCGGUACCAAACCCUAUCAAACUUCGAAUACUAUAUACUUUACCAUGGCAGUCAGGCGUAGGGUGAUAAAAUCCUAUGUCGAGAGGGGAACAACCCAGACUAUCAGCUAAGGUCCCUAAGUCGUACUUAAGUGGAAAACGAUGUGGAGUUACUGUGACAACCAGGAAGUUGGCUUAGAAGCAGCCAUCUUUUAAAGAAAGCGUAACAGCUCACUGGUCUAGUGAUUCUGCGCGGAAAAUAUAACGGGGCUAAAGUACGCACCGAAGCUAUAGAUUCGAAUUUAUUCGAGUGGUAGGAGAGCGUUCUAUUCAGCAUUGAAGCGAUACCGGUGAGGAGUCGUGGAGCGGAUAGAAGUGAGCAUGCAGGCAUGAGUAGCGAUAAUUAAAGUGAGAAUCUUUAACGCCGAAAACCCAAGGUUUCCUACGCGAUGCUCGUCAUCGUAGGGUUAGUCGGGUCCUAAGUCGAGUCCGAAAGGGGUAGACGAUGGCAAAUAGGUUAAUAUUCCUAUACUUAUGAUAGAGCGUGAUGUGGGGACGCAUAGAGUUAAUCGAGCUGGCUGAUGGAAUAGCUGGUCGAAGGAUGUAGGUUGUAGCACAGGCAAAUCCGUGCUACAUUCAACCGAGAUCUUACAGGCCGAACAAAAUCUUCGGAUAGCGUUUGGAAUCGAUGAUACUGUCGUGCCAAGAAAAGCCACUAAGCAUAUCUAUUAUAACCCGUACCGUAAACCGACACAGGUAGGUGGGAUGAGUAUUCUAAGGCGCGUGGAAGAACCCUGGUUAAGGAACUCUGCAAACUAGCACCGUAUCUUCGGUAUAAGGUGUGCCUACUUCUGUAUAGAGAUUUACUCUCGAAAGCGGAAGAGGUUGCAACAAAGAGUCCCUCCCGACUGUUUACCAAAAACACAGCACUUUGCUAACUCGCAAGAGGAUGUAUAAGGUGUGACGCCUGCCCGGUGCUCGAAGGUUAAUUGAUGAUGUCAGCGUAAGCGAAGCAUUUGAUCGAAGCCCGAGUAAACGGCGGCCGUAACUAUAACGGUCCUAAGGUAGCGAAAUUCCUUGUCGGUUAAAUACCGACCUGCAUGAAUGGCGUAACGAGAUGGGAGCUGUCUCAACCAGGGAUCCAGUGAAAUUGUAGUGGAGGUGAAAAUUCCUCCUACCCGCGGAAAGACGGAAAGACCCCGUGCACCUUUACUAUAGCUUUACACUGCUAUUGGGAUAUUCAUGUGCAGGAUAGGUGGGAGACUAUGAUCUAUGGACGCAAGUACAUAGGGAGUCAUCCUUGAGAUACCACCCUUGAAUAUUCUGAUAGCUAACUGGGAACAAUUAUCUUGUUUCAGGACAAUGUAUGGUGGGUAGUUUGACUGGGGCGGUCGCCUCCUAAAAAGUAACGGAGGCUUACAAAGGUUGGCUCAAUCCGGUUGGAAAUCGGAUGUUGAGUAUAAUGGCAUAAGCCAGCCUGACUGUGAGACAUACAUGUCGAGCAGAGACGAAAGUCGGUCAUAGUGAUCCGGUGGUUCUGUGUGGAAGGGCCAUCGCUCAAAGGAUAAAAGGUACGCCGGGGAUAACAGGCUGAUCUCCCCCAAGAGCUCACAUCGACGGGGAGGUUUGGCACCUCGAUGUCGGCUCAUCGCAUCCUGGGGCUGAAGCAGGUCCCAAGGGUAUGGCUGUUCGCCAUUUAAAGCGGUACGCGAGCUGGGUUCAGAACUGUCUCUUAUACACAUCUGACGCUG
RNAcentral lists this ribosomal RNA (2608 nucleotides) under seawater metagenome. Its description in RNAcentral is "bacterial LSU rRNA". It matches the Rfam family "Bacterial large subunit ribosomal RNA", at positions 14 to 2640 of the family's 2925-position model. The record is from RNAcentral.